This 529-nucleotide ribosomal RNA is filed under the name Pseudotremella sp. Its description in RNAcentral is "partial large subunit ribosomal RNA". It matches the Rfam family "Eukaryotic large subunit ribosomal RNA", at positions 107 to 625 of the family's 3401-position model. Lineage: Eukaryota; Fungi; Basidiomycota; Tremellomycetes; Tremellales; Bulleraceae. The record is from RNAcentral.
GCUCAAAUUUGAAAUCUGGCGUGCUCAGCGCGUCCGAGUUGUAAUCUAUAGAGACGUUUUCCGUGCCGGACCGUGUCCAAGUUCCUUGGAACAGGAUAUCAAAGAGGGUGACAAUCCCGUACUUGACACGACCCCCGGUGCUCUGUGAUACGUCCUCUACGAGUCGAGUUGUUUGGGAAUGCAGCUCAAAAUGGGUGGUGAGUUCCAUCUAAAGCUAAAUAUUGGCGAGAGACCGAUAGCGAACAAGUACCGUGAGGGAAAGAUGAAAAGCACUUUGGAAAGAGAGUUAAACAGUACGUGAAAUUGUUAAAAGGGAAACGAUUGAAGUCAGUCGUGUCCGGGAGGCUCAGCCGAUCUUCGGUGUAUUCCUCUCGGACGGGUCAACAUCAGUUUUGUCCGGCGGAUAAGGGUGGCGGGAAGGUAGCACCUUCUUGGUGUGUUAUAGCCCGUCAUCGCAUACGUUGGGUGAGACUGAGGAAUGCAGCUCGCCUUCAUUGGCCGGGGUUCGCCCACGUUCGAGCUUAGGAUG